AAAACUUUCAAGAACGGAUCUCUUGGUUCUGGCAUCGAUGAAGAACGCAGCGAAAUGCGAUAAGUAAUGUGAAUUGCAGAAUUCAGUGAAUCAUCGAAUCUUUGAACGCACAUUGCGCCCGCCAGUAUUCUGGCGGGCAUGCCUGUUCGAGCGUCAUUU
Molecule: ribosomal RNA, 159 nt
Filed under: Fusarium solani
Lineage: Eukaryota; Fungi; Ascomycota; Sordariomycetes; Hypocreales; Nectriaceae
Description: 5.8S ribosomal RNA
Rfam family: 5.8S ribosomal RNA
About the family: 5.8S ribosomal RNA (5.8S rRNA) is a component of the large subunit of the eukaryotic ribosome. It is transcribed by RNA polymerase I as part of the 45S precursor that also contains 18S and 28S rRNA.
Source: RNAcentral